UACGUAGGUGGCAAGCGUUGUCCGGAUUUACUGGGCGUAAAGAGCGCGCAGGCGGUCGUCCAAGUCGCGUGUGAAAGCCCCCGGCUCAACUGGGGAGGGUCACGCGAUACUGGUCGACUCGAAGGCAGGAGAGGGUAGUGGAAUUCCCGGUGUAGUGGUGAAAUGCGUAGAUAUCGGGAGGAACACCAGUGGCGAAGGCGACUACCCGGCCUGUUCUUGACGCUGAGGCGCGAAAGCUAGGGGAGCAAACGGG
Molecule: ribosomal RNA, 253 nt
Filed under: uncultured bacterium
Lineage: Bacteria
Description: partial 16S ribosomal RNA
Rfam family: Bacterial small subunit ribosomal RNA
Source: RNAcentral